GCUUUCCUGGGCUCAGUUGGUAGAGCUUUGCUCCAACAACGCAAAGGUUGUGGGUUCAAAUACAAGAGACUGCA
Non-coding RNA from Danionella cerebrum, 74 nucleotides. Lineage: Eukaryota; Metazoa; Chordata; Actinopteri; Cypriniformes; Danionidae. The record is from the annotation of a GenBank genome assembly.